Long non-coding RNA from Amphiprion ocellaris (clown anemonefish), 4769 nucleotides. RefSeq lists it as uncharacterized. The transcript has 2 exons. The record is from RefSeq and is a predicted model, not a curated record. Lineage: Eukaryota; Metazoa; Chordata; Actinopteri; Pomacentridae.
UCUGCUGCGUCCGGACGCAGACGCUUCGGGAAGCUAGAUGUGGUUUUUACCCCCAAAACAUGACAGAGAAGUGAAAGAGAAAACACUAUUUUCACGAUGACUCUGAGGAAGAAAGAUAAAGAUAAAUGAAAGAUAAAUGUAAGUGUCCUAUUUGCGGGGCGACUUUUGCGUCGGCAAAGCGGCACAAUGUGGAGAGACUCGACUUUACUCGCUACAAAGCUUCCAUGCUAACUAGCCACCUGGUAGCGCACAUAGACUGUAUGCGCACUACGGACAGAAAAAGCCUGGGACUUAAAGGCAGCUUUGACAUCUAGUACGCGGCGAAAAGUUUCUUCGUGGAGAAAAAUGUACCAUUAGAAAGGCUUGUUCUAGUGACGACAGACAGGGCUCCCUCCAUGACGGGUCGCCAUGCAGGCUUCAUUGUACGAUGCAGAGGUGAUCCAGACUUCCCAACAUUCCUACAUUACCACUGCAUCAUUCACCAGCAGGACAUAUGUAUGUACAAAAGUGGCCGGAUUUGAUCAUGUGAUGACUCGUGUUGUGAAGAUCAUAAAUGGCUCCAAAGCCAAACAACCAGGACAUUGAAGGUGCUGCUGGAGGAGCUGUCAGCGGAACAUCGUGACCUGUUACUACACACAGAAACCCCAUGGAUCAGCAGGGGACCAGUUUUACAGCGUUUUUUGUCACUGUUGGCCGAAAUCAAAGAGUUGAUGCAAUCCAAAGGGGAAGACACCUUGCUUGCGUGAGGACACUGAGUAAACUCUUGCCCUUUCAUUUUUAACAGACAUCACUGGGAAACUGAACCAUCUGAACUGUGAGCUGCAAGGUAAAGGAAAACUACAUCUCACAGACCCAGUAUCGUUCAUAAUCACAGCCUUCAUCAUUCCACUCUGCGUUUUUUGAUCCACGGCGCCAGAACUCCACACAGUCCUGGUUCCUCCCGUCAUAGCUGUUGGGUUGGCCACUACCCCAGAACCUGCAGAACAAGGAGACACAUGCAGCAAUAGACUAGAAACUACUCUGGCCUUGGACAAAUGGAGUCGACAUAAUUUGGAAUUUUCACUCUUAGGGAUUUAAAGAGGGCUGCAAAGUGGCUGGAUGGUUAUCACUGUCGCCUAACAUCUCGAAAGUCCCCGGUCCAGGCCUGGGCCUGGGAUCUUUCUGUGUGGAGUUUGCAUGUUCUCCCUGUAAAUGAGUGAGUUUUCACUGGGUUCUCCAGCUUCCUCCCACAGUCCAAAAACAUGCUGAGGUUAACUGGUAAUUCUAAAUUGUCCAUAGGUGUGAAAGUGUGUGUGUAAUAGACUGGCGACCUGUCCAGGGUGCAACCUGCCUUCGCCCUAAGUCAGCUGGGAUAGGCUCCAGCCCCUCUGAUGUAUAGGUAAUGGAUGAAUAUAAAGAGAUAUGUAUUUAAUUUCUUACGAUUUGCUCAGCGGUGUCCCAUCUACCCAUUUCCACUGCCCCUCUGUUUCUUUAUCUGUCAGUCCAAUCCAAACUUCUCUGUCACUGGUAUACAAGGUGUUGACGAAGUCCUACGAAGGAAGAGACAUUGAGUUACUGCAAGGUACUGUCAUACAUACAGUUAUAGAUUAGGUGCAGUGGAAGAAGAAGGGCAAAAAUGCUCAUAUCAUUCUCAUUAAUUUUUAGGCUAACAGUGGAUGAAACAUGAGAUGCAAAGUUAGAAACUACCUCGUUCACACAGCUAAAGGUUUGAGGAGCUAUAUUUUCCUCCAGACUGCUGGAGACCAAAUACAGAGCUAAAAUAUACUAUUGAAUGCUAAAUUCACAUUUACGAGGUUGCUAUGCAAACUUUAAAAGGUUAUGUUGAAAAAAAAUGCAUGUUAACAACUCAUUCUGUAACUCCUUGUCAUUCAUUAACCAAAACAAUGAUCAGAAAGACACAACAGAACACUUUGGUAUCUUUCAAAAUGUGCUGUUGCUGCUUUAACAAAGCAUAAGGCCUCUAAAUGUAUAUGGUGGCACAUACAGUAAUGAAUAUGAAGAUAGAUGCACACAGAUCGACACACCAUUUCCUCUUGGCUCGUUAUGACUGUCAGGUCUGCAUCUUUAUUGUUACAGAAUGUUCUGGCCGAGGACCAGCUUUUCUUGCUCGAAGAAGCAUAGUAGCAGCUGUCCUGGAACUUCCUCCAGCCGGUGUGGCAUUUCUUCUCUGUAAUUGUAAGAUAAUCAUUGAUCAAGAACUAUACACUGAGACAAUAGUGAUUGUUGAAGUGGGGUUUUGGACAACUGGAUGUAUUUUUCAUCAGACAGCAUGGUUCAUAUAGGGUUUAGUUGACCACAUGCAUUUUUCCAGUAGAGGAAACAUUUUCUUUUUUUUUUUUUUUUUUUUAACAUUUCUUUCUACUUACCUCGAAUGACUCUGUUCAGAUUGUUAACUUUUGCCAGAAGCUGGUCUCUCUCAGCAGUCAAAUUGUCGUUUUUCACCUUCAACAGGUCUCUUUCCGCCGUUACGUUCUUCACGCUGCUUUCAAUGUCGUUUUUUUCCCGAAGCAGUGAUGCAUAAGAAGCCUGCAACUCCUUUUCUGCCUUUUUAACUAAAUCAUAAGAAGCCUCCAGUGUGUCCCUUGCUGACAUCAGGUUUUGGUGACUGCUUGCUAUCUUGUCUUUCUCACCGACAGACGCAUUAUAUCUGCCCUGCAAAUAUUCUACUCUUGUGAUCAAGUCAUUGUAGCUUAACUGGAGCUGCUCUCUGGCUCUGGUUACAUUAUUGAACUUGUUCUGUAAGUUGUCCCUUUCUUUGGUGGUUGAGUCAUAACUGGCCUGUAACUCUUUUCUGUGUUUGAGAACUGAAUCAUAUUGUUUUUGUAACACGUUUUUGGCUGUACUCAAGGUACUGGUGUUUGUCUGCAGUUGGUCUUUAGAUGCUUUUAGCUGUUCUAACUCUUUGUUUAAAGCAACAUGUUCGGUCUUUAACUGGUUUUGACUAAGUGUCAAUUUGUAUGUUUCCUCACUCAGUCGGUGGUAACUCAUCUGUAAUUGGUCUUUCGUUGUAGAAAAGGUGUCAUAAUUUCGCUGUAAAUUAAUACAGUCGGCUUCCAGAUUCUUUUUCUCUUUUUGUGCUGCAUUCAGGCUCUGUUGCAGGCCAUCUUUCUCCUCACUCAUUGCCAUUAAACUGUUCUGACGGUCUCGCUCUACAUUUUGAUCUGAUAAAGAGGAGAGACAACACGCCAAUCAGUGAUUUUACUGCAAUAUCAAUGCAAUGUUGGAUAUUUGACGGAGAAAACAAACAGGUAGAACUCACAGUGCACACUUUGACCUAUGACUCCAGCCAGCAGGACAAUAGCCAGCAGCCCGAGGCAAACUGUAGCAACCUUGAAGGGGUUGUUUCUCAAUGCAUGAACUGAAAGACGGCAAGAAAAGCAGAAGCAGAAACGAAAAAUUGAUGAAGUGAUCUAAGGAACAUGCAGUUUUACUGAGCGAUGCUGCAAAAUACUAUACAAAACAGUCAUUUCACAGUCUAAGCAGUCAAUACUUUAGAAAUACACAUAAUUAGUCAUGAUCAUUAGUAUACAAUAUGCAACAUUUCCUAUAUUGACAAAAUAUAACCACAAAUAUGAACGGCAUCAAUCUUAAAAAUAAACAUUACAGCAGCAUCUCUUUCCAAAUAUUUAUUAUGAUGUUGUCAUAUAUCCGUUUCAGUGAUUUUCCCAUAUUUUCACUGUGUCAAAGAGUAACACAAGUGAAAUUCAUUUAGUAAUAAUACAUUUUUUUUCGCCACUCCUGAGCAGUGGACCAAACACAACAAGGUAACCAAAAAACUAUUUCCUUUUUAAACAUUGCACAAACAGGGAGCAACAUUAGCAAUCAUUUUGAAGCCGUGUUUUUGAUAAUUUGACAAACUUAACUCCUAUCUUCACUUUCAUUUUGGUUCUGUUUUGCGCUCCACUAACUCCAGGGGAAAAUAUCUGCUCUGUAGAUGCCAAAAAAUUACACAGUUUUAAUAAUCUUGCUGUGUGAUGUUGUGCGGAUGGAACACUAUUGCAUUUUUUUAUCCAAAUUAGUGCUCAUUGCCAAAAACACAACUCUAAAUGAAUGCUAAUGUAGCGCCACAAGUUUCCAUUCAAAUUUAGCCCAAUUCUGCUUUCUAAAUGUACAUCAAAUCACAAAAGAAAUUUCCACAUUAAGGCUUAUUUUGGUAUGUAUGACUUUUUGCAGUUCUUUUUUUUUUGCAUCAUUAAAAUGAAACUAAUCAAAAAUGGAUUUGAAACUUUGACUACUGCAAAAAUUCCCUCUCAGUUUAUGACAGGCAUUACUUCAAUGUCUGCAAUCCCUCUAAAGCAGGCGAGACAAUAAAUUAUUGCACAAUCUGAUGUGCAACAUACACUACAUAAUAAAUUACAAGCACAAAACUCAGAAAUGGAAAUUUAGAAUUAUUAUUAUUAUAUUAAUGCUUAUGAAAAUCCUGUUCAUAACCUUACUCUGCAACAACCCAAACAUGAAAACAAUAAUCCGUUUGUGAAGUUGCUUAACAAAACGUGGAUUAAGAAAGUCUCAAACCCAUUUUCCUUUCUCUUCCUUAUGAGGGUGUGAACUGAGCAAACCUGUGAACAAACCUAUUAAAUUGAGGAAGGUUACUGUCUCCCCAUUUUCCAUCUCUACAGUGGAACAGAUACUGCCGUGAAUGUUUGAAUCGCAUGUUUCAUGAACAUUGUGACCUAUCAAAUAUGUCUCCAUUUCACUUGGUUGCAUUUUAUUUUUACCGAUGCAGCAACUUUUACACCACAGCUACGUAUUAAAUUUACUUUGACUGA